Molecule: long non-coding RNA, 1624 nt
Organism: Tympanuchus pallidicinctus (lesser prairie-chicken)
Lineage: Eukaryota; Metazoa; Chordata; Aves; Galliformes; Phasianidae
Exons: 2
Source: RefSeq, a predicted model, not a curated record
GGAAAGUUGUUACCUGCUGUCCUGCUAAUGGCUAAUUGGACUGGGCCCUGAUAUCUGCUGCACAUUUGCAUCUUGGAACACAGAAAUGUGAGUUCUGCAUUGCCACCAUCAGAAGCUGGAGGGGAGGAGCUCAGAACAUGAACAUCCACUGGCAAAAGGGAGCAGAGAUUGGUUAUGGAACUGGACUGGAGUAGACUGGAACACACCUGGCUGACUUCGGUCUCUACUGAACAUUGGGAGGAAUGGGAGUUUUGUACAAGCACAUUACUCUGAGCAUUUCAAGGGGAUCAGUGCUCUUUCUUGAAAAUCCUGAGGGCUGCAAAACCUGAUGUUUUCAGCACUGGAAACAGUGUGUGCCACCAUCACCAUGUGCCACCUCUGUAAAGUGUCCAUGGGCUCUGUCAUCCCACCUCCAGAGGCAUAAGGACACACCAGCAAAACCUACCAAACAUUCUCUCUAUCACCCACAUAUCCCCUGUGAUCAAUGUACUCACUGACGGCUCCUCAUAACUCUGUGGUCAUCUUUUUUCUUUUUUCUUUUAUUUUUUUUUUCACUGCCAUUAAUUAUUCCUGGAAGCAAAUAAAAGGGCCCACCGAUAUCGCUCCCUCCUUCUGGCCGCAGCCAGCUUUUCCUUCGGGAGAAAAAACUUGUGUUCGUUUGCAGUGGGACAAUGCCGACUUUUGAACCUCUAACCACUAACCAAACAAACCUUGCGCUCCGCUCCACAAUCCAAACAGCCUUUAUUGACAGGCGUAUCGCAGCAACGCACCGCAGCUCGGGCAGCAGCCUGGCUGGGAUCGAUGUUGCAGGGCGGCCCCGGGCGCCAGAGGGCAUCCUCCGAGGGACAGCCCCUCGGAUCCAUUUGGUGCCUGCAAAGCCCUGUGAACCGGCAUCGCCGCGGUGUGGAUUGGAAUCCUUUAGAUGCCACCAUUGGGGCACGGUGCAUACCGAACCCACGAGCAGUGAGCACAGCCUGAGUGCUGCUCACAGCAAGAAACCUGCAUAUAUUAGCCCACAUUGUGUCUGGGGAUGGGCGCAGAGCUCCCCCAAAGUUUUCUGCCCCAGGUGGUGGAAGGAGAGCUGGGACAUCCAAGGAGACUGAAAACUGACCAGUGGCAUGAACUCCAAGCAAGGCAGGCAGCAUGGGGAGUGACAAUCAGUGCUGGGACACUGUGAGUGCCAAGUGGGUGCCUGGCAGCUCUCUGUAAGCACAGGAUCUUCACCCCAGCAUGGCUGGAUGCAAUUUUCACAGACUUCACUCUGCCCAUCUCUGUAUGGUGGUCCUCAGCACUGGGCGUACGGAUCUUACAAGUGUCUUACACUGAGCUGUUCACUGCCACAGACUUGACACCGCCUCACCUUCUCUGCUCUGACUCUUCACAAACGUUUUGCAUAUUUGCAGUUAUGACCAAAAAAUGAAAAGUAAAAUAUAAAAUUUAAAAAAAAAAAUGUGCUUUAAUUUCUUUUUUUUUUCCCCAAUAAAAUUCAUUGUCAGCCCAACAGCAUCGCUCAGACCUUCGCACAGAUCCCUGAGAUUCACUGGGGAGUGCCACGCUCCCCUUACACCUAACAAACGCCAGGGUAAAAAAAAAAAAAAAAAGGAAAAAUAACAACAAAAGAAAA